This 682-nucleotide long non-coding RNA is filed under the name Olea europaea (common olive). RNAcentral describes it as "long non-coding RNA (OEUR_LNC015312)". The record is from RNAcentral. Lineage: Eukaryota; Viridiplantae; Streptophyta; Magnoliopsida; Lamiales; Oleaceae.
UUCACUUUAAUUGUCUACUUCAUGAAAAUUGAUAUUGGAAUUUAGUAGUAAUGGUUCUAAUAAUGGUAAGAAUGUCUACUAUUAAUGAAGAAACCCACCUAGAGGCAAAAAAAAACUUCAUGGAAAUUAAAAUGGCUAAUUUGACGUGUCAAAUGUAGACUAGUACUGGUGAAGCUGAUCUGCAAUUGUGGAUCCGAACUGAUAUCUUGACUGUUCUCGCUUAUCAUGUUCCUUGUGCAGUGUUUUUCUUGAUUUUAAGACUCGUGAAUAGAAUAUUUGACCUUUUGCACUUCACCGUAUAUAUUUAACGUGAUUACACUAGUAACUUCUUAUAGAAAGGAAUAGAAUAUUGGCUUGCUAUAUACUUUCUUCGAUUGAAUCUACUGACCUAAAAUUAUUAUUUUUAUUAUUUUUUAAUUUGUACAUCAAUUCUUACUUUUAUCUCUUCUAGACAAGGCCGGUCUGUUUCUGCUUGAAUUUUGCUGAGGGGGAGAUAUAUUUUGAGAAAUGUUCAAGUUCUGUUCUAGCAAGUUUGAUUAGUUCAAAGUUAACUUACAGAGAACUUGGUUUGUAGAAAACUACAGGUCUAGUGUGCCAAUUUUAUGAAUUCACUAUUAUUUUUUCAGGAUGUUUAUUUGGUAUGUAGUAAGUUGCAGGAAAAGGCAAGAUGUGCUGGGAAUUC